Molecule: ribosomal RNA, 367 nt
Filed under: uncultured bacterium
Lineage: Bacteria
Description: bacterial SSU rRNA
Rfam family: Bacterial small subunit ribosomal RNA
Source: RNAcentral
GAUGAACGCUGGCGAGAUGCUUUACACAUGCAAGUCGUACGAGAGUUUUUAAUUCAAGUGGCGGACGGGUGAGUAACACGUAAGAAUUUGCCUUUAGGAGGGGGACAACAAUUGGAAACGAUUGCUAAUACCCCAUAUGCUUUCGAGUGAAAUGGAUUUCUCCGCCUAAAGAGAAGCUUGCGGCUGAUUAGCUUGUGGUAAGUAUGGCUUACCAAGGCGACGAUCAGUACUGGUUUGAGAGGACGAUCAGACACACCUGGAACUGAGACACGGUCCAGACUCCUACGGGAGGCAGCAGUGGGAAUUUUCCGCAAUGGGCAAAGCCUGACGGAGCAAUCUCGCGUGAGGGAUGACGGCCUAUGGGUUG